This 143-nucleotide ribosomal RNA is filed under the name uncultured bacterium. RNAcentral describes it as "partial 16S ribosomal RNA". It matches the Rfam family "Bacterial small subunit ribosomal RNA", at positions 338 to 478 of the family's 1533-position model. The record is from RNAcentral.
CCUACGGGAGGCAGCAGUGAGGAAUAUUGGACAAUGGGCGAAAGCCUGAUCCAGCCAUGCCGCGUGAAGGAUGAAUGCCCUAUGGGUUGUAAACUUCUUUUAUACAGGAAGAAACCUUUGGAUUUAUCCAGAGCUGACAUUAC